UACGGAGGAUGCGAGCGUUAUCCGGAUUUAUUGGGUUCAAAGGGUGCGUAGGCGGUCCGUUAAGUCAGCGGUAAAAUUGCGGGGCUCAACCCCGUCGAGCCGUUGAAACUGGUGGUCUUGAGUGGAUGAGAAGUACGCGGAAUGCGUGGUGUAGCGGUGAAAUGCAUAGAUAUCACGCAGAACUCCGAUUGCGAAGGCAGCGUACCGGCAUCCAACUGACGCUGAGGCACGAAAGCGUGGGGAUCAAACAGG
RNAcentral lists this ribosomal RNA (252 nucleotides) under uncultured bacterium. RNAcentral's name for it is "partial 16S ribosomal RNA". It matches the Rfam family "Bacterial small subunit ribosomal RNA", at positions 524 to 776 of the family's 1533-position model. The record is from RNAcentral.